UACAGAGGGUGCGAACGUUGUUCGGAUUUACUGGGCGUAAAGCGCGUGUAGGCGGUCAUGCAAGUCGGGUGUGAAAGCCCCGGGCUCAACCCGGGAAGUGCAUUCGAUACUGCGUGACUGGAGUCCCGGAGAGGAUGGUGGAAUUCUCGGUGUAGAGGUGAAAUUCGUAGAUAUCGGGAGGAACACCAGUGGCGAAGGCGGAGACCUGGGCCGAUACUGACGCUGAGGUGCGAAAGCGUGGGGAGCAAACAGG
Molecule: ribosomal RNA, 253 nt
Filed under: uncultured bacterium
Lineage: Bacteria
Description: partial 16S ribosomal RNA
Rfam family: Bacterial small subunit ribosomal RNA
Source: RNAcentral